UACGGAGGGGGCGAGCGUUGUUCGGAAUUACUGGGCGUAAAGGGCGCGCAGGCGGCUGCUCAAGUCAGGCGUGAAAGGCCUGGGCUCAACCCGGGAAUUGCGCUUGAGACUGGGAGAGGAUGGUGGAAUUCCCAGUGUAGAGGUGAAAUUCGUAGAUAUUGGGAAGAACACCGGUGGCGAAGGCGGCCAUCUGGACCGCAACUGACGCUGAGGCGCGAAAGCGUGGGGAGCAAACAGG
Molecule: ribosomal RNA, 238 nt
Filed under: uncultured Skermanella sp.
Lineage: Bacteria; Pseudomonadati; Pseudomonadota; Alphaproteobacteria; Rhodospirillales; Azospirillaceae
Description: partial 16S ribosomal RNA
Rfam family: Bacterial small subunit ribosomal RNA
Source: RNAcentral